CCUAAAGAUCUUCUUAGAUCCACAAAUUUAUCCAAAAAAUCACUA
Picea glauca (white spruce) is the source of this 45-nucleotide non-coding RNA. The record is from Rfam. NCBI's taxonomy places the organism in Eukaryota, Viridiplantae, Streptophyta, Pinopsida, Pinales, Pinaceae.